AUUGAACGCUGGCGGCAGGCCUAACACAUGCAAGUCGAACGGUAACAGGAUGAAGCUUGCUUCUUUGCUGUCGCGUGUCGGACGGGUGUGUGAUGUCCGGGAAACUGUAUGUUGGCGGGGGAUAACUCCUGGAAAAGGUAGCUAUUAUAGCACAUCGUCGCUACACCUAAGAGCGGGACAUCUUGGCACCUUGCCCUCUUGUAUGCCCCGAUGGGAUUAGAUAGUAGGUGGGGUAAAGGCUCACAUAGGCGCCGCUCCCUAGAUGGUCUGAGAGGAUGACCAGCCACACGGGAACUGAGACACGGUCCAGACUCCUACGGGAGGCAGCAGUGGGGAAUAUUGCACAAUGGGCGCAAGCCUGAUGCAGCCAUGCCGCGUGUAUGAAGAAGGCCUUCGGGUUGUAAAGUACUUUCAGCGGGGAGGAAGGGAGUAAAGUUAAUACCUUUGCUCAUUGACGUUACCCGCAGAAGAAGCACCGGCUAACUCCGUG
RNAcentral lists this ribosomal RNA (490 nucleotides) under uncultured bacterium. Its description in RNAcentral is "partial 16S ribosomal RNA". It matches the Rfam family "Bacterial small subunit ribosomal RNA", at positions 30 to 507 of the family's 1533-position model. The record is from RNAcentral.